Molecule: long non-coding RNA, 1401 nt
Filed under: Calidris pugnax (ruff)
Lineage: Eukaryota; Metazoa; Chordata; Aves; Charadriiformes; Scolopacidae
Description: lncRNA (ENSCPUG00000002075.1)
Source: RNAcentral
GGGGCGGCGCGGGGGGGCGGCGGCGGCGGUGGCGGCGGUGCUGGUCCCGCUGUGCUCGGUGCGGGGCCGCCCCGCUCUGCUCUUCACCCUCCGGUCCCGCCGCCUGGGCGGCCCCCACAGCGGCGACGUCAGCUUCCCCGGGGGGCGGCGGGACCCGGCGGACGGCGACGCGGUGGCCACGGCGCUGCGGGAGACGCGGGAGGAGCUGGGGCUGGCGCUGGGACCCCCCAGUGUCUGGGGACAACUGCGGCUGCUGCCAGACCGGGUACCGGGGACACCGGCGGGGGGGGGGGCACAAGGACACCGGGGCAGGGGAUGGGGUCGGCGCGGGGAGCCAGAGGGUGUUUGGGGGGCACGGAGUGGCUGGGGACACCGGGGACACGGGAGGAGAAGGACGUGAGGACAUGGGGUGAACGAGGACAUGAGGACAUGGUGAACAUGGACGUGAGGACACGGGGGGACAGGGGGUGAACAAGGACGUGAGGACACGGGGGGACAUGGACAUGGGGUGACAUGGACAUGAGGUGAACAAGGACGUGAGGACACGGGGUGACAUGGACAUGGGGUGACAUGGACACAGGGUGAACAAGGAUGUGAGGAACAUGGGGUGACACAGACACGGGGUGACCUGGGCGUGAGGACACGGAAUGACAUGGACACGAGGUGAACAUGGAUGUGAGGACACAGGGUGACAUGGAUGGGGUGAACAACUAUGUGAGGAACAUGGGGUGAACAUGGAUGUGAGGACAUGGGGUGACUAAGGUCAUGAAGACACAGUGUGACAAGGACAUGGGGUGAACAAGGACAUGAGGACAUGGGGUGACUAAGGUCAUGAAGACACAGUGUGACAAGGACAUGGGGUGAACAAGGACAUGAGGACAUAGGGUGACACGGACAUGGGGUGAACAAGGAUGUGAGGAACAUGGGGUGACAUGGACACAGGGUGACCUGGAUGUGAGGACACGGAAUGACAUGGACAUGAGGUGAACACGGAUGUGAAGACACAGGGUGACAUGGACAUGAGGACAUGGGGUGAACAAGGACAUGAGGUGAGCAAGGACAUGGGGUGACGAAGGAUGUGAAGACAUGGGGUGAACAAGGACAUAGAGGGACCAAGGAUGUGAAGACAUGGGGUGAACAAGGACACAGGGGGAACAAGGAUGUGAAGACACGGGGUGACGUGGACAUGGGGUGACAUGGACUUGAGGACAUGGGGUGACAUGGACAUGGGGUGACAUGGACACGGGGUGACAUGGACACGAAGCAAACAAGGAUGUGAGGACACGGGGUGACAUGAACAGGGGGUGACUAAGGAUGUAAAACCACAGGGUGAUGAGGACACGGGGUGACAGGGACGAGACACCAGGGAGAUGGGUGUGAGGGUUUUGGGGAUGACAGGGA